GUCCUGGCCCUAAACGAUGGGUACCAGACUGUGGGCUGACAUGGGCUCCCAGUCGAGGCCAAAGUGUUAAGUACCCCGCCUGGGGAGUAUGGUCGCAAGGCUGAAACUCAAAGGAAUUGACGGGGGCUCACACAAGCGGUGGAGCAUGUGGCUUAAUUCGAGGCUACGCGAAGAACCUUAUCCUGGGCUUGACAUGUGCGAAAGCGGUCGGAAGUAAGGUGCGGAAACGUUCCCCAACGGUAUCCAGUCCGGAACCGACUACAGGUGCUGCAUGGCUGUCGU
This 282-nucleotide ribosomal RNA is filed under the name uncultured bacterium. RNAcentral's name for it is "partial 16S ribosomal RNA". It matches the Rfam family "Bacterial small subunit ribosomal RNA", at positions 793 to 1055 of the family's 1533-position model. The record is from RNAcentral.